UGGGGAAUUUUGCGCAAUGGGCGAAAGCCUGACGCAGCAACGCCGCGUGUGUGAUGAAGGUCUUCGGAUUGUAAAGCACUUUCGACCGGGACGAAAACCCUGAGGCCAACACCCUCAGGCUUGACGGUACCGGGAGAAGAAGCACCGGCUAACUCUGUGCCAGCAGCCGCGGUAAUACAGAGGGUGCAAGCGUUGUUCGGAAUUAUUGGGCGUAAAGCGCGUGUAGGCGGCUUUGCAAGUCGGGUGUGAAAGCCCUCAGCUCAACUGAGGAAGUGCGCCCGAAACUGCAGAGCUUGAGUGCCGGAGAGGGUGGCGGAAUUCCCCAAGUAGAGGUGAAAUUCGUAGAUAUGGGGAGGAACACCGGUGGCGAAGGCGGCCACCUGGACGGUAACUGACGCUGAGACGCGAAAGCGUGGGGAGCAAACA
This 426-nucleotide ribosomal RNA is filed under the name uncultured Archangium sp. Its description in RNAcentral is "bacterial SSU rRNA". It matches the Rfam family "Bacterial small subunit ribosomal RNA", at positions 355 to 774 of the family's 1533-position model. Lineage: Bacteria; Pseudomonadati; Myxococcota; Myxococcia; Myxococcales; Archangiaceae. The record is from RNAcentral.